UGCUAUCGGGGUUCGAUUAAGCCAUGCGAGUCGAGAGGUGCAAGACCUCGGCGCACUGCUCAGUAACACGUGGACAACCUACCCUGAGGAGGGGGAUAACCCCGGAAAACUGGGGAUAAUACCCCAUAGAUUAGGGAGGCUGGAAUGCCCCCUAGUUCAAAGGUCCGCCGCCUCAGGAUGGGUCUGCGGCCGAUUAGGUUGUUGUUGGGGUAACGGCCCAACAAGCCUUUGAUCGGUACGGGUUGUGGGAGCAAGAGCCCGGAGAUGGAUUCUGAGACACGAAUCCAGGCCCUACGGGGCGCAGCAGGCGCGAAAACUUUACAAUGCGAGAAAUCGUGAUAAGGGAACCCCGAGUGCCCGUAAAUUCGGGCUGUCCAUCAGUGCAAAAAACUGGUGAAGAAAGAGCCGGGCAAGACCGGUGCCAGCCGCCGCGGUAAUACCGGCGGCUCGAGUGGUGGCCACUAUUACUGGGCUUAAAGCGUCCGUAGCUUGGUUGUUAAG
Molecule: ribosomal RNA, 501 nt
Filed under: uncultured methanogenic archaeon
Lineage: Archaea; Methanobacteriati; Methanobacteriota
Description: bacterial SSU rRNA
Rfam family: Archaeal small subunit ribosomal RNA
Source: RNAcentral